AGUGAACGCUGGCGGUAGGCCUAACACAUGCAAGUCGAACGGCAGCACAGUAAGAGCUUGCUCUUACGGGUGGCGAGUGGCGGACGGGUGAGGAAUACAUCGGAAUCUACUUUUUCGUGGGGGAUAACGUAGGGAAACUUACGCUAAUACCGCAUACGACCUACGGGUGAAAGCAGGGGAUCUUCGGACCUUGCGCGAUUGAAUGAGCCGAUGUCGGAUUAGCUAGUUGGCGGGGUAAAGGCCCACCAAGGCGACGAUCCGUAGCUGGUCUGAGAGGAUGAGCAGGCACACUGGAACUGAGACACGGUCCAGACUCCUAAGGGGGGCAGCAGUGGGGAAUAUUGGAGAAUGGGCGCAAGCCUGAUCCAGCCAUACCGCGUGGGUGAAGAAGGCCUUCGGGUUGUAAAGCCCUUUUGUUGGGAAAGCAAAGCAGCAGGUUAAUACCCCGCUGUUCUGACGGUACCCAAAGAAUAAGCACCGGCUAACUUCGUG
Molecule: ribosomal RNA, 492 nt
Filed under: uncultured bacterium
Lineage: Bacteria
Description: partial 16S ribosomal RNA
Rfam family: Bacterial small subunit ribosomal RNA
Source: RNAcentral